Molecule: ribosomal RNA, 538 nt
Filed under: uncultured Geobacter sp.
Lineage: Bacteria; Pseudomonadati; Thermodesulfobacteriota; Desulfuromonadia; Geobacterales; Geobacteraceae
Description: bacterial SSU rRNA
Rfam family: Bacterial small subunit ribosomal RNA
Source: RNAcentral
GUUUGAUCCUGGCUCAGAACGAACGCUGGCGGCGUGCCUAACACAUGCAAGUCGAACGUGAUCCAGAGCUUGCUCUGGUGAAAGUGGCGCACGGGUGAGUAACGCGUGGAUAACCUACCCUGGUAUCCGGGAUAACAUUCCGAAGGGGGUGCUAAUACCGGAUAAGCCCACGGGCUCUUUGGAGCUUGCGGGAAAAGGUGGCCUCUAUUUAUAAGCUACUGUAUCAGGAUGGGUCCGCGUACUAUUAGCUAGUUGGCGGUGUAACGGACCACCAAGGCGACGAUGGUUAGCUGGUCUGAGAGGAUGAUCAGCCACACUGGAACUGAGACACGGUCCAGACUCCUACGGGAGGCAGCAGUGGGGAAUUUUGCGCAAUGGGGGAAACCCUGACGCAGCAACGCCGCGUGAGUGAUGAAGGCCUUUGGGUCGUAAAGCUCUGUCAGAGGGGAAGAAAUGAUAUAGUGCUAAUACCACUUUAUCUUGACGGUACCCUCAAAGGAAGCACCGGCUAACUCCGUGCCAGCAGCCGCGGUAAUAC